UGACUGCGGACGAUCAUUA
RNAcentral lists this ribosomal RNA (19 nucleotides) under Aspergillus ruber. RNAcentral's name for it is "partial 18S ribosomal RNA". The record is from RNAcentral. Lineage: Eukaryota; Fungi; Ascomycota; Eurotiomycetes; Eurotiales; Aspergillaceae.